GGGUCCGUAGCUCAGCCUGGUUAGAGCACUCGACUCUUAAUCGAGUGGCCGUGGGUUCGAAUCCCUCCGGACUCA
RNAcentral lists this transfer RNA (75 nucleotides) under Nanobdellota archaeon. RNAcentral describes it as "tRNA-Lys". It matches the Rfam family "tRNA". From Rfam's summary of the family: Transfer RNA (tRNA) molecules are approximately 80 nucleotides in length. Their secondary structure includes four short double-helical elements and three loops (D, anti-codon, and T loops). Lineage: Archaea; Nanobdellati; Nanobdellota. The record is from RNAcentral.